GUGGGGAAUGGGGAUUAGCAAGAUCACUAGUUCACAAUUUCACUUUUGUGGCGAUGCUUAACAAAUUCCCCAGUCUUGGUUGUUAUGUAUUAACUUGUAAGUAUCAACAGAGAACAACUUUUAGAUAUCUAAGUUGUAGUCUAUCUUGUCUGACAAAUGAUACCUGCCCUCAAAAGAUUCGUGGUUAUAAUAAAUAAAAAGAGAGAGUUUGAUUCACAGAAAUAUUUAUUUUCUUUUCCUUUUUGGGUCUUAGCUAUCAUAGUUAGCUAUGGUUUAUGUGCAAUUGGGCUUUGCUAAAGUGAAUGUUUGUGGACAAUAUGAAUUGCAGUUGCAGGCUUGGAAUUAAAAGUGUGACAAUAUUUUUUUUUUAAAAAAAGGGUAAAGGAAAAAAAGUGGAGAGGAAACUUCUGUGGGCAUGUACCUUAAAUAUUAUGCCUAGGGGUCGAGGCUUUACAAGUCAUACAGCGUAGAACUAAUUGUUCCCUGAUUGUACAAAACUGGACAAAUUUAAAUUUUUAUCAUACUAUAUUCUACACUCGAAAGCAAGCAGAGUGCUUACUGACUGUGACUUUGUAGGCUCGCUUUUGAAUGCCGGAAUAUUGAUCAAAUACGACUGGAAUUUUCUGGGCUUAAAUCCUCAAACUUUGAGGAAAGCUUUUUGCGUUUUUCUUUGGUUGAUAAUUAAUCGUGAUGGUAUGGAAAGUUAUGUUUCAAUGAAUCACCAAAAUGUUAACUGUGCAGUCAAAUUGGCAAAAUUAUAUGUACGGCUGGUGUUGCUUGGAUUUUAUAAACUAUUUUAACAGAUGAAACUCGUGAUGUUCAUUGCAGCUAACAGCCAUUUUCUUAUUUUGUUGUGUCUUCCAGUCUGAAGUUUUCACGGUUGCAUUUGCACUGCUUGCAGCUGGUGCUGUUAUUCUAACCUUGAAUGUCUUGCUGCUGGGUGGUCAUAUUAUCUUCUUCCAGAGCCUAAGUCUUCUAGGCUACUGUCUAUUCCCUCUAGACAUCGGUGCCUUAAUUUGCAUGUUAAAAGACAAUGUGAUCAUCAAAGUGGUGGUGGUUGCUGUGACAUUGGCGUGGAGCUCAUGGGCUGCAUAUCCAUUUAUGAGUAGUGCCGUCAAUCCAAGGAGGAAAGCUCUCGCACUUUAUCCCGUCUUGCUUAUGUACGUAUCUGUCGGUUUUCUUAUCAUAGCUAUAGACUGAUGCAACAAUUAUAUGGUGGUUAUAGUACCACUUCAUUAAGUGGUCAAACACUAAACAAAACUAUUAACAUUUGAUAUAGUUACCAAUUGGAUUGCAGUCGAAUUGUUUAUCAAUACUUUCUUGAUUUUGAGUUUUGACUGCCCCAUAUGUAAUAGCAGUUGUAUAUUACUUUUUAUUUCGGGUAUAAAUUUGUGUUUCGUAUCUUGUUAAACUA
This is a long non-coding RNA of Olea europaea var. sylvestris, 1414 nucleotides long. RefSeq lists it as uncharacterized. The record is from RefSeq and is a predicted model, not a curated record. NCBI's taxonomy places the organism in Eukaryota, Viridiplantae, Streptophyta, Magnoliopsida, Lamiales, Oleaceae. The transcript has 2 exons.